GAUGAAGAACGUAGCGAAAUGCGAUACGUAAUGUGAAUUGCAAAUUCAGUGAAUCAUCGAGUCUUUGAACGCACAUUGCGCCCCCUGGUAUUCCGGGGGGCAUGCCUGUCCGAGCGUCAUUGCUGCCCUCAAGCACGGCUUGUGUGUUGGGCCCCGUCCUCCGAUCCCGGGGGACGGGCCCGAAAGGCAGCGGCGGCACCGCGUCCGGUCCUCGAGCGUAUGGGGCUUUGUCACCCGCUCUGUAGGCCCGGCCGGCACUUGCCGAUCAACCCAAAUUUUUUAUCCAGGUUGACCUCGGAUCAGGUAGGGAUACCCGCUGAACUUAAGCAUAUCAAUAAGCGGAGGA
RNAcentral lists this unclassified non-coding RNA (346 nucleotides) under soil metagenome. RNAcentral's name for it is "partial contains 5.8S ribosomal RNA, internal transcribed spacer 2, and large subunit ribosomal RNA". The stretch from base 1 to 119 matches the Rfam family "5.8S ribosomal RNA", at positions 35 to 154 of the family's 154-position model. The record is from RNAcentral.